RNAcentral lists this transfer RNA (61 nucleotides) under Pseudobiotus sp. SHR-2005. Its description in RNAcentral is "tRNA-Tyr". The record is from RNAcentral. RNAcentral also lists the same sequence under 1 other name. Lineage: Eukaryota; Metazoa; Tardigrada; Eutardigrada; Parachela; Doryphoribiidae.
AAAAAAGUGGCCGAUAAUAGGCAUUAAAUUGUAGAUUUAAUAAUGGUUUACCCCUUUUUUG